Long non-coding RNA from Podarcis raffonei (Aeolian wall lizard), 899 nucleotides. RefSeq lists it as uncharacterized. NCBI's taxonomy places the organism in Eukaryota, Metazoa, Chordata, Lepidosauria, Squamata, Lacertidae. The transcript has 5 exons. The record is from RefSeq and is a predicted model, not a curated record.
GGUCACACUAAUUCAAUUGCAGUUUGACUUUGUCUAUGAAUGGCUUUGGUCUCAACCUUGAAUAAGCAUGCGAUGGUAUAAUAAACAAUGGAUGUGAUCAGCUUAUAAGUAGAGAACCCUGGACUCAGCUGACAAGAGUGUAAAUGCAGGGAAUCAAAGAAACAACAACAGAAGCUUGCUUGAGGAAGAGGAAGAGACACAGGAUAGGGUAGCUCUGAAAAACUCUUAAGGAGAAAUCCAUGGUUUUAAAAGAUUUAAAAAAGAAACCAAGGAGGAUUAAAAUGGUGUGUGGACUUCUUACUGAAUUAAAAACUGUGUCUGCUCCUAUGCACAAUGCCAACAAAUGUUCCAGAGAGAAGUUUCAAGGACUUUCAAAGAAGUCAAACCAUUUCAUUGGUGAGAAUUCUGCCAUCUGUUUCAGAGGACCAUAGCUUGACCCCUGGAGCCAGUUUCAGAAACAUGGGGAUCUACAGCUCCCUCUGCAGUCAAAGCUACUGUGCUUGUCUAAUUUGCAUAAGGCUUGCGAAGGGCCUGUCAGCAGCUAAAAGGAGAAUGCUGGCUGGCUAAGAAAUUGUAGAACUGCAGAUCUGCUGGAAUACCUGAAUCACUGGAGGGAAGCGGAGGCAAGGGAGGAGGUAUUAUGUUUGCACUAAGCACUGCUGCGACUGGGGCAUUUUAGAAAGCCACUGCUCUCACUUCAACUAAUGGAAGGCAGAGCAUUUUUAUUCUGAAGAAUACGGAAACGGAACGUUGUUGCCAUCCUGCAGGAUAACCCACUAAAAUCAGGCUCCAGCGGCUGGUUUCCAAGGUGACCAAUAUAGUCAAAUAUCCUAUUUAAAUCUGGGGAGGGAAGUGGUUGUGAAAAUCUCUGCCACUAAAGCUUUGCUGUCUGAAAUGCA